UCAACCGAGAUUCCCCCAGUAGCGGCGAGCGAACGGGGAGGAGCCCAGAGCCUGAAUCAGUGUGUGUGUUAGUGGAAGCGUCUGGAAAAGCGCGCGAUACAGGGUGACAGCCCCGUACACAAAAAUGCACAUGCUGUGAGCUCGAUGAGUAGGGCGGGACACGUGGUAUCCUGUCUGAAUAUGGGGGGACCAUCCUCCAAGGCUAAAUACUCCUGACUGACCGAUAGUGAACCAGUACCGUGAGGGAAAGGCGAAAAGAACCCCGGCGAGGGGAGUGAAAAAGAACCUGAAACCGUGUACGUACAAGCAGUGGGAGCACGCUUAGGCGUGUGACUGCGUACCUUUUGUAUAAUGGGUCAGCGACUUAUAUUCUGUAGCAAGGUUAACCGAAUAGGGGAGCCGAAGGGAAACCGAGUCUUAACUGGGCGUUAAGUUGCAGGGUAUAGACCCGAAACCCGGUGAUCUAGCCAUGGGCAGGUUGAAGGUUGGGUAACACUAACUGGAGGACCGAACCGACUAAUGUUGAAAAAUUAGCGGAUGACUUGUGGCUGGGGGUGAAAGGCCAAUCAAACCGGGAGAUAGCUGGUUCUCCCCGAAAGCUAUUUAGGUAGCGCCUCGUGAAUUCAUCUCCGGGGGUAGAGCACUGUUUCGGCAAGGGGGUCAUCCCGACUUACCAACCCGAUGCAAACUGCGAAUACCGGAGAAUGUUAUCACGGGAGACACACGGCGGGUGCUAACGUCCGUCGUGAAGAGGGAAACAACCCAGACCGCCAGCUAAGGUCCCAAAGUCAUGGUUAAGUGGGAAACGAUGUGGGAAGGCCCAGACAGCCAGGAUGUUGGCUUAGAAGCAGCCAUCAUUUAAAGAAAGCGUAAUAGCUCACUGGUCGAGUCGGCCUGCGCGGAAGAUGUAACGGGGCUAAACCAUGCACCGAAGCUGCGGCAGCGACACUAUGUGUUGUUGGGUAGGGGAGCGUUCUGUAAGCCUGUGAAGGUGUGCUGUGAGGCAUGCUGGAGGUAUCAGAAGUGCGAAUGCUGACAUAAGUAACGAUAAAGCGGGUGAAAAGCCCGCUCGCCGGAAGACCAAGGGUUCCUGUCCAACGUUAAUCGGGGCAGGGUGAGUCGACCCCUAAGGCGAGGCCGAAAGGCGUAGUCGAUGGGAAACAGGUUAAUAUUCCUGUACUUGGUGUUACUGCGAAGGGGGGACGGAGAAGGCUAUGUUGGCCGGGCGACGGUUGUCCCGGUUUAAGCGUGUAGGCUGGUUUUCCAGGCAAAUCCGGAAAAUCAAGGCUGAGGCGUGAUGACGAGGCACUACGGUGCUGAAGCAACAAAUGCCCUGCUUCCAGGAAAAGCCUCUAAGCAUCAGGUAACAUCAAAUCGUACCCCAAACCGACACAGGUGGUCAGGUAGAGAAUACCAAGGCGCUUGAGAGAACUCGGGUGAAGGAACUAGGCAAAAUGGUGCCGUAACUUCGGGAGAAGG
RNAcentral lists this ribosomal RNA (1479 nucleotides) under Escherichia coli. RNAcentral describes it as "partial 23S ribosomal RNA". It matches the Rfam family "Bacterial large subunit ribosomal RNA", at positions 225 to 1746 of the family's 2925-position model. Lineage: Bacteria; Pseudomonadati; Pseudomonadota; Gammaproteobacteria; Enterobacterales; Enterobacteriaceae. The record is from RNAcentral.